This 429-nucleotide ribosomal RNA is filed under the name Bacillota bacterium. RNAcentral describes it as "Firmicutes bacterium partial 16S ribosomal RNA". It matches the Rfam family "Bacterial small subunit ribosomal RNA", at positions 355 to 776 of the family's 1533-position model. The record is from RNAcentral. Lineage: Bacteria; Bacillati; Bacillota.
UAGGGAAUCUUCCACAAUGGACGCAAGUCUGAUGGAGCAACGCCGCGUGAGUGAAGAAGGUUUUCGGAUCGUAAAGCUCUGUUGUUGGUGAAGAAGGAUAGAGGUAGUAACUGGCCUUUAUUUGACGGUAAUCAACCAGAAAGUCACGGCUAACUACGUGCCAGCAGCCGCGGUAAUACGUAGGUGGCAAGCGUUGUCCGGAUUUAUUGGGCGUAAAGCGAGCGCAGGCGGAAGAAUAAGUCUGAUGUGAAAGCCCUCGGCUUAACCGAGGAACUGCAUCGGAAACUGUGUUUCUUGAGUGCAGAAGAGGAGAGUGGAACUCCAUGUGUAGCGGUGGAAUGCGUAGAUAUAUGGAAGAACACCAGUGGCGAAGGCGACUCUCUGGUCUGCAACUGACGCUGAGGCUCGAAAGCAUGGGUAGCGAACAGG